GCGUCAUACGCCCCAGAGCCGCCGGGACGGAGGGGCUGGGCCUGGGGACCCCCCGGCCUCCGCCUGCACGCCCCCCCACGCCCGGACGUGCCCUCUCCGCGCGGGGGACUCGCCUAGGUCUCCUACGUCUGCCCCUGCCCGGCUCCCGGCGGCCCCAGCUGUCACCGGCCCCCCCAGGAUGCAAUGGCGCAGCCCCCCCGGCUGAGCCGCUCUGGUGCCUCCUCACUUUGGGACCCAGCUUCUCCUGCUCCCACCUCUGGCCCCAGGCCUCGGCUUUGGGAGGGUCAAGAUGUGCUGGCCAGAUGGACUGAUGGGCUGCUAUACUUGGGUACCAUCAAAAAGGUGGACAGUGCUAGGGAGGUGUGUCUGGUCCAGUUUGAGGAUGAUUCGCAGUUUCUGGUUCUAUGGAAAGACAUUAGCCCUGCUGCCCUCCCUGGAGAGGAACUCCUCUGUUGUGUCUGUCGCUCUGAGACUGUGGUCCCUGGGAACCGGCUGGUCAGCUGUGAGAAGUGUCGCCAUGCUUAUCACCAGGACUGCCAUGUUCCCAGGGCUCCAGCCCCUGGAGAGGGAGAGGGCACAUCCUGGGUAUGCCGCCAGUGUGUCUUUGCGAUCGCCACCAAGAGGGGAGGUGCCCUGAAGAAGGGCCCCUAUGCCCGGGCCAUGCUGGGUAUGAAGCUUUCUCUGCCAUAUGGACUGAAGGGGCUGGACUGGGAUGCUGGACAUCUGAGCAACCGACAGCAGAGUUACUGUUACUGUGGUGGCCCUGGGGAGUGAGUAAUGAGAGGGGAGCAGACUGUGGAAUGAAUGAUGUGGUGGUGGAUCCCAGGAAAUGAAGG
This 836-nucleotide long non-coding RNA is filed under the name Homo sapiens (human). RNAcentral describes it as "long non-coding RNA NONHSAT207145.1". Lineage: Eukaryota; Metazoa; Chordata; Mammalia; Primates; Hominidae. The record is from RNAcentral.